AUGGUUUGUCAUUACAAGACAAGGUCUGCCCAGCCAGGUGGAUCUACCUUGCCCCCAUCACCUGCCGCCCCCAUCAAACAUGUUGGGACAAUGCCCAUAGGAAUGGACCUCCUUCCCCGUCUCCAGCUGGGACUGGCGUUUUUUAGUCUCUGGAGUAUGAUGGUUCUCAUGGGUAGGAUGAGAUCUUUGGCAGAAAGGUCUUCGGUGGUGCUCUGAGCCUGCGCUGCAUAGGACUGAGCAGACCCACCUCCUCCAGCUUGGGUGGCCCUGCCACUCCUGGUUCCAAGUCUCUCCUUUCCUGGCAGGUCUUAAGGGAAGAUUGUACCCCUCACCCUUUACAUACCCAGAAUCAUCAGUAUGUCACUUCCUAAUUUCUAUCAGUGUAUCUCAUUAUUUCAUACUGUUUUACUAA
Molecule: long non-coding RNA, 412 nt
Filed under: Homo sapiens (human)
Lineage: Eukaryota; Metazoa; Chordata; Mammalia; Primates; Hominidae
Description: non-protein coding lnc-MAP3K19-5:3
Source: RNAcentral